AAAUGACCCCGUAACUUAGGGAUAAGGGGUGCCACCAUUAGGUGGCCGCAGAGAAUAGGCCCAGGCGACUGUUUACGAAAAACAUAGGAUUCUGCUAAGUCGCAAGACGAUGUAUAGGAGCUGACGCAUGCCCGGUGCUGGAAGGUUAAGGGGAUCUGUUAGAGUCAUCGAAGCAGUGAACUUAAGCCACAGUAAACGGCGGCCGUAACGAAAACGGCCCUGACGUAGCGAAAGUCCUUGUCGGGUAAGUUCCGAACCGCACGACAGGCGUAACGAUUUGGGCGCUGUAUCGCCGACACUCUUGGUCAAAUUGUACUUACGGCGCACAUGACGGCUACCUGCGACCUGGAGGACGGACCAGCGCGAGCAUUACUGGAGCUAGCCACUGGUGUUG
RNAcentral lists this ribosomal RNA (394 nucleotides) under Clostridioides difficile. RNAcentral describes it as "bacterial LSU rRNA". It matches the Rfam family "Bacterial large subunit ribosomal RNA", at positions 1720 to 2125 of the family's 2925-position model. The record is from RNAcentral. Lineage: Bacteria; Bacillati; Bacillota; Clostridia; Peptostreptococcales; Peptostreptococcaceae.